GACGAACGCUGGCGGCGGGCUUAACACAUGCAAGUCGAACGGAAAGGCCCUGCUUGUGUGGGGUGCUCGGGUGGCGAACGGGUGAGUAACACGUGAGUAACCUGCCCUUGACUUUGGGAUAACUUCAGGAAACUGGGGCUAAUACCGGAUAGGAGCUCCUGCUGCAUGGUGGGGGUUGGAAAGUUUCGGCGGUUGGGGAUGGACUCGCGGCUUAUCAGCUUGUUGGUGGGGUAGUGGCUUACCAAGGCUUUGACGGGUAGCCGGCCUGAGAGGGUGACCGGCCACAUUGGGACUGAGAUACGGCCCAGACUCCUACGGGAGGCAGCAGUGGGGAAUAUUGCACAAUGGGCGGAAGCCGGAUGCAGCAACGCCGCGUGCGGGAUGACGGCCUUCGGGUUGUAAAACGCUUUCGCCUGUGACGAAGCGUGAGUGACGGUAAUCGGUAAAGAAGCACCGGCUAACUACGUG
Molecule: ribosomal RNA, 468 nt
Filed under: uncultured bacterium
Lineage: Bacteria
Description: partial 16S ribosomal RNA
Rfam family: Bacterial small subunit ribosomal RNA
Source: RNAcentral